Molecule: non-coding RNA, 116 nt
Filed under: Nomascus leucogenys (northern white-cheeked gibbon)
Lineage: Eukaryota; Metazoa; Chordata; Mammalia; Primates; Hylobatidae
Source: Rfam by way of RNAcentral
GCCGGGUGCGGCGAUGUGCGCCUGUAGUCCCACUUUUCCGGAGGCUGAGGCGGGAGGAUCGCUUGAGCCCGGGGGCUCGAGACCAGCCUGGGCAACAUAGCGAGACUCCGUCUCUA